RNAcentral lists this ribosomal RNA (848 nucleotides) under uncultured bacterium. RNAcentral describes it as "bacterial SSU rRNA". It matches the Rfam family "Bacterial small subunit ribosomal RNA", at positions 601 to 1451 of the family's 1533-position model. The record is from RNAcentral.
CCCCGAGCUCAACCUGGGAACUGCGUUNUGAACUGGGUGACUAGAGUGUGUCAGAGGGAGGUAGAAUUCCACGUGUAGCAGUGAAAUGCGUAGAGAUGUGGAGGAUACCGAUGGCGAAGGCAGCCUCCUGGGAUAACACUGACGUUCAUGCCCGAAAGCGUGGGUAGCAAACAGGAUUAGAUACCCUGGUAGUNCACGCCCUAAACGAUGUCGAUUAGCUGUUGGGCAGCAUGACUGCUUAGUAGCGAAGCUAACGCGUGGAAUCGACCGCCUGGGGAGUACGGUCGCAAGAUUAAAACUCAAAGGAAUUGACGGGGACCCGCACAAGCGGUGGAUGAUGUGGAUUAAUUCGAUGCAACGCGAAGAACCUUACCUGGUCUUGACAUGUACGGAACCCUCCAGAGACGGAGGGGUGCCUUCGGGAGCCGUAACACAGGUGCUGCAUGGCUGUCGUCAGCUCGUGUCGUGAGAUGUUGGGUUAAGUCCCGCAACGAGCGCAACCCUUGUCAUUAGUUGCCAUCAUUAAGUUGGGCACUCUAAUGAGACUGCCGGUGACAAGCCGGAGGAAGGUGGGGAUGACGUCAAGUCCUCAUGGCCCUUAUGACCAGGGCUUCACACGUCAUACAAUGGUCGGUACAGAGGGUAGCCAAGCCGCGAGGUGGAGCCAAUCUCACAAAACCGAUCGUAGUCCGGAUUGCACUCUGCAACUCGAGUGCAUGAAGUCGGAAUCGCUAGUAAUCGCAGGUCAGCAUACUGCGGUGAAUACGUUCCCGGGUCUUGUACACACCGCCCGUCACACCAUGGGAGUGGGGGAUACCAGAAGUAGGUAGGGUAACCGCAAGGAGCCC